This is a ribosomal RNA of Carlito syrichta (Philippine tarsier), 110 nucleotides long. The record is from Ensembl. Lineage: Eukaryota; Metazoa; Chordata; Mammalia; Primates; Tarsiidae.
GUUUAUAGCCAUAACACCUGGAAAGUGCCUAAUCUCAUCUGAUCUUGGAUGUUAAGCAGGGUCGUGUCUGGUUAGUAUUUGGAUGGCAGAAGAAAUUGACAACACAAUUC